Molecule: non-coding RNA, 194 nt
Organism: Anopheles sinensis
Lineage: Eukaryota; Metazoa; Arthropoda; Insecta; Diptera; Culicidae
Rfam family: drz-agam-2-2 ribozyme
Source: Rfam
UAUAGUUUUGGUCUGUGAAUGGGGUAGGAUCCGACGCCUCCUGAAGGCUACAUAGGCUCUCCAACCCAACUCCUAUUCUGGUAUGUCCUAGCCAUACAGACCUUGCACAUGUAGCCCCGUUUAUCUGAGCUUGGGUAAACGGGUCCAAUCUCAACCCCUUGGGAGGAUCGGGCUGCGUGGCUAAGGCAGAAGGG